Long non-coding RNA from Leopardus geoffroyi (Geoffroy's cat), 9378 nucleotides. RefSeq lists it as uncharacterized. The transcript has 3 exons. Lineage: Eukaryota; Metazoa; Chordata; Mammalia; Carnivora; Felidae. The record is from RefSeq and is a predicted model, not a curated record.
UGAUCACUUUGGUGUUUUCUUUUGUAUGAGCUGAGGCAAAAAUAACACCUGAAUAAGUAUCUAUAGAUGCAUGGAUAUACUUAUGUUUACCAAAUGCAGGGUAAACGUUAACAUCAGCCUGCCAAAUCUCACUAGGCUUGAGGCCCCGGGGUUUUGUUCCUGCUGGGAAGGAAUUCAGGGGAUAGUAAUUAACAGUCUGAGCAGAAGUAAAUGAUUUGUUUGGCCUCAUUCACAGUAAGGGUAAAUUGUUUUCUUAGAGCUUGCCAGUUUUGAUGGUAAAGAUUAUGGGAGGCUCUGGCUUCAAAAAGAGGAUAACAUUCUUGAGAAACUGUUGGGAAAAUGAAUAAAGUUUUACACCAUAAGAUGGCCGACGGGACUAAAACAAGCUCUGGUCUCUAGCUUGGAGACCCCUCUUCCGGGUUCUUCUUGCCCUGUUUGUUGAGCGGGCGCGCGCGUGCCAAAACCCUAUGGAAGCUGACAACUAUAAAUUACCCUUCCCACUUGCACUCAGCGUUCAGAUCUUUGGAGAAACGGUCUCCUCUGAGCCCACCAGUGUUAAAUAAACCUCUGAUCCACCGAGAUCUCCACCUCCGAGUGCCGGCUUGGUUUUUCCGCCAGCGUUCCAUCCUGGUUCCCUAACAUAUUUGGUUCCCUGAUUGGGAAACCCAACUGCGCCGGCCCAUUGUUGCCACUGGUUUGGGAGAAUGACGAGGCAGUGAUGGAAUGAGGAUUCGCAAGGGAGAAGGCGCACCCUGCCUGAAUUUCAGCAGUCUCCCACUCGGUCGCCCCGGGCCAACCCUGCUCCGCCAUUCCUGCCGGACUGGAGGAGACUUGGCAGGUGAGGACCUGGACCCGACGUCGGAACCGGUCACCAUCGGAAAUACUGGUUAUUUUACCAAGGCUUUGACUGGAAUGUCAUAUUUGAGAGUGACAUUCAUAGACUCAGAUGUGACCAGACAGCUUUGAGGAACUAAGGUUGGCUUUAUGAAACACGGAGCCAUAAAGCCCCUUGGAAAUGUUGGCCUGAUACCUUGCUUACAGAGUUCCCAGCAGCCUCACCAGGCUUCACAUCCAGGGCAAACCCCAGUGCUGGUCUUGAACUCACAACCCAGAGGUCAACACCUGAGAUGAGAUAAAGAGUUGGACACUUGGACACUUAACCCAUGCAGCCACCCAGGCCCACCUAAAGCAUAAUUUUAAGUGAUCAAUUAUAAAAACUUGGAAGGUUGGAAUUAAGGUUCUUUCAUGGGAAAGAACCAUAUCUUUUCAGAUUUAACAUCUGAAUUUACCACACCACCCUAUUCAGAUGCUUGGUCUUUAUUUCUAUUUUGGCGAAACCUAAACCUUAACCAAGGGGUGGUGUAGAAUUUGGUCAUAGUGCCUGGUUAACUGAAUGAAUGGGUGGAUGGAUACAGGAUUAUUUCAAACAUGCCUUGGAAAGUCUUGGAUUUUUACGUCCCAGGGCAGAGCUGUUCAUGCAGCUGUCUAAAGCCGUAGUGUUGGGUGGCUGAGAGGAUGCAGCUUCUCAAGACCCAGGAACCGAUGGCUGCAAAAUGGGAAGCAUUUCAAGUGUGGAAGACCGGCAUACACUUCAUGGCUGCCAUAGAAACGUGACUCUGUUGUGACAACCAUGAUGACUUUUCAAUACAGAGACGGAUUGGGAAGAAGAGGGGCCUUCAAGUGUUUGGAGCUUAGCUGAAGGUGUGGGUCCCCUCAGUGGAGCUGAUCUGUCCCAGAGUCUGGGGAGACAAAGGAAUCCAGGUCCAAGUCUCCUCUUUCCUCCUUUGGAGCUCGGCACCCAGAGUGUCUCAUGGGUAAACCUGUUGGGGUCUGGUCUGGGUCCAGUGAGUGUGGGUCCUGCUCCAGGGGUGUCCUGGAGCUACUGUCCUGUGAAGGCAGGGGUGCGGGAGGGAAGGCAGAUAAUGAAUAUGCACCUGGCUUCCCUUCUGCAGAAUGGGGGUGUGAAUGCUUCACCCACAGGGUCGCCGAGAACACUCGGUGAUACACAUGACCAAGUCCCUGGCCCUGUGAUUACUGCAGGAUCAUGAAUGCCUGUAUGAUUUCAGGCCACUUGUUACUCCUUUUCUUCUUUGUUGUUAGGGGAUAGAAGAAAAAGGCCCGGUGAGAAGUUCAUUGUAACAUGUAGUUGUUAUGAUCACAGCCCACUUGUUGUGAAGUAGGGAAGCUGAAGGGGCUCCAUUUUACAAGUGGUUUUUCUACCAGGCCCCAUUUAGCCUGCCAGGCUCCACAUUUGGCCUCUGAAUAAGACAAAGAGCUAUGUUCUCACUUCAACGGGGAAGCAAGAAAGUUAAUCAUUCUCUGAGAUUUGUCGAAGGCCCCAGACACCUGAUAACACCUAAGAAGAGCCAGAUCCAAAACAUGUUCCAGGACACUGGCUUCAAACAAACCUCAGCUGACGAUGGCAUCAAUACCCCUACCUUUGGUAAUUUAUGAAAUAACACCUAUUGUUCACCUGACGCUUGCCUUUGAUUGGACACUACCAUGGAUUCCCCUGGAACGUGUACCCUAAACCCUUUUUAAAUACAAACUCCUAGCCCAAAGCAAUGACAAGGCUCAUUCUCCUUUCCUUUCUGAGUCUCCCCCAGGCACUCUGCUAUUUUCUGUUCUUUCAUGCUAUUUGAUAAACUCUGUUAGCACUUUCUCCAGCUAACGUUUGAUUUCUACCACUUUUGAGGCCAAGGACCCUCUUGGCUGGUCCUGUGGUACCGUUCCCUGGGUUCUUGGACUCAGCUUGACUGCAUCAGUAUCAAUGUCAGUGUCACUAGACUAGUGCCUAGCAUGCUGCUGGGCACAUAGUUACUCUUGCAAAUCAUAGCGAUAGCUGGAUCUGUCUCUCCCUCUUCAGAACUUCAUUCCAUUGGCCACGCUCUUAUCAGGUGCCGGAAGGAGACAGGUUAUGAGGAUCUGAGUCCUGGUGGCUGCUGAAACCUCUACCCCAUAUUCAAGGACAACAGUCCUCAGGAGACACUAACAUUUCACAUUCCUGGUGGGAUAUGAUGCCUGGCACAAGUGAGUUCAUAGACCUGAACAAAAGCAUGUUGUGGAAUAGCUCCUGUAAGGUUCAAAAACUAACCUAAAAGCAGAGAAACUACUUAAACCACGUCAUGGGAGGAGAAGUUUAGCAGGUGGAAUUUCAAUCCACCAACAGGUGUGUUAGUAAAUCUUGAGGCCCAUCUUAGAGAAUUCCUCAUUUGUCUGAAAGGGACAAAUUGUGCACCUGAAAAUGACUUGGUCAUUAACGUGCACUUGCAAUAAAUAUAUUUUUUCUGAUUGCAUAAAUAAUAAUUAAUGAAUUCUAUGUUUCCUCAGAACGAUGUGAAAAUAGGCAUUUAGAAGGGUUCGUAGCAACUUGAAAUCUUAACACAGAUUCUUUCCUGGUUUGCUCGGUUUUACCCAUACUACAAAGAAAAAAAUUAAGGGCCUAAAAUUUUUGUAGUGUGAGUUAAAAGUGUCACUUACAAGACUUCGGAAUUUUUAUAAUAAUAAUUACCAACGUGUCUUCCCUGCUAUCAUGAUACCCAGAAUUUUCCCUUAUACAAAUCAGAAGUUGUUAAAUGUCAGUAUGAUUAUAUUCCUGGUACGUGACGUUUUAAGUUCAGUACUCAUGGACCACAGUUUCCCUCAACAUGCCAUGUCCCCAAGCAACUAUUUAGUAUUUUUGUCAAUAGAUUAGUUUUGAUUGUCUGUAACUUUGUGUCAAUCGUUGCAUUUUAUUUUUAUCUGGCUUAUUAUACUCAGGCAUUUAUUCAUUUAUUAACAGUUCCAUUAUCUUUUAUUUGACAUGAAUAUAUAAAACACUAUUGAUGAGAAGCUACUUUGACUCAUCAUGGGCAAAGAAAUUUAGCAAGUAGAAUUGCAUUCCAUCAGCAACUACACGUUGUGCAGUAGCCUUUGAAGCCCAUCUUACAGGUGCCUGAUUGCUGAAAAGCAAUAGAUUAUACAGAUGGAGACAGAAGUUGGUCUUUAUAGGCAUGUGUAAUAAAUGUCGCUAAUGUUUUGCUAAGAAAAAAAAAAACUAAGUAUGCAAAGGGCCACAUAUAGUAUGAUUCCAUUUUUUAUGAAAUACUUAGUGGGAGGCCCUCAAUAUGCUGUACCCAAUAAAUUACCCUCUUUCCAUUCUGACUUUCAGAAGCUCUGGUAGGUUUGAGUCACAGUCCCUCCCUCUUAUCUUUCCUGUGAUGUUCAACAGCAGUUCAGGCUUUUGUCAUAAGAUGGCACCAAAGUACCACCAUCAUUAAACUUCUCUUCUAAGAAGUGUCUGCAAGGAGUAAAAACGUAACAAUAAUAUCCCCUAAACCCAGGUUUUGUACAUAAACAAGAGAAUUUUAAUUUUUUUCUGAAAAAGAAAAAAAAAAAACCUUGUAGGUGUAAAGGAAAAUUGUUAAAACAUAUACUCCAUUUUCCCCAUUGAGGAGGAUAUUAACUGUGAGCCUUUCAUAUGUGGCUUUUAUGAUGUCGAGGUAUGUUCCCUCUUACCCCUACUUUCUUAAGGGUUUUUAUCAAGAACUGAUGCUCUAUUGUGUCAAAUGUUUUUUUUCUGCAGUUUUUGGAAAGGAUUAUAGAGUUCUUUAUUCCAGAGCCUGCAGACUUUGAACACCUGGUGGCAGUAGUGCACCUUGACAAUCAGUGGCAGGUAUUCCAAGGGUGGUACAGGUGUCUAACCUGUAGGUGACUGAGUAGGUGACUCAGAGAGGAUGGGGGUGUCAGAGCUGGAUCUGGGCAGCUAUGUCUUGUGUCAUGGACAGGGAAUGAUAGAGAGGAAAAGAAGGUCUGAGCAGCCUCUACAAGGUUGGAGAAAUGGAGGGUGAACACCCUGUUCUCUGAUAGGGAACUUCUGUACAGUCCACACUACACAACAGCUGACAGUGAUGAGGAAAGAGAUAAAUCAAUGAUUAUGAUGAAAGUUAGGGUCAACAACAAAUGGAACUUUUUUAACAUACUUAUGACAUACUUAUACAUAAUUGUAACAUACUUGCAUACAUACUUAGUGCACUGACCAUGGUGUCCUCAAUAAGAGAUACCUGAGUGCCUUGAUUAAUUGCUUCAGAGGAAUGUGGAAGCCUUUCAAGCACAAAUGAUUAACUGCUGAGCACCAGCUUCUUCUGCAUAUAUCCCUCACCAUUUCCUCGCACCUUCCCCUUAAAAAACCUUCUGCUUUUCCUGGACAGGGAAGAUGGUCUUUGCAAAGUUAUUCUGCCAUUUUCCCAGGUUGCUGGCUUCCUGAAUAGUGCAACUUUUCCUUUCUCACCAUCACUUGUCUCUUGAGCAUUGGCUUUUGGUGGGAGAUGCAGGAGAGAAGCAUCAAGGGAAAAGACUUCAAAAGGGAAGGGCUGGAGAAGGUGCAAGGCCUUAGGACAUGUUUACACAGCUGAACAUGGCUGCUGCUCAUAAGGAAUGCCUAGAGCCAUUAACAUUGUCCAGGGAUGGAUCCUCCCUCACACCUGAGCCUUCCUUAGUCUUAUAGAAACCAAUUAACUCGAAAUUCAACCUUGAAAAGCUAAACCGUUAGAUUGAUUAACACACUUGCUUAGCUGACUUUAUGCACAUAGUCUUUAGCAAUUAUCCUAAUAAAAAGAAGCUUCAUUCUGGAGUCAGGGCCUCAUUCAGACUCAAGAAUGAGGACCUUCACUUAACUGAAUUUUGUUUGCACACUCAUCUUUUGCGAUUCUGGCCAUACUCCCUGCAACUGCUUUUGAGCUGUCUUAAAGAUUUGCUGAUUUCCCUAAGUCUGCAGUCACCAUCCAAUACUUCCCUUUCCCUCUUCUUUUCAGCUUCAUUAUUUUCAUAAUUUUAUCUUCUACAUCACUGAUUCACUCCUCUGCUUUGUGCAUCCUUCGUUGUCAUGGCAUUCAUUCAGGUUUGCAUCUUGGUUAUAGCAUUUUUUAUUUCAACCUGACUAGUUUUUAGUUCUUUUAUCUCUUCAGUAAGGGAUUCUCUAAGGGAUUCUCUAUGCUUUUUUCAAGCCCAGCUACUAUCCUUAUAAUUUUUGUUUGAAAUUCCCUUUCAGACAUCUUAAUGUGAAUUGAUUAAAUGCCUGUUCUCUCUCUUGGGGUUAAUUCCUCCAUCUUGUGAUUUUGAGGUCAAUUUAAAAAAAAAACAUGAAUGUAGAUCCUUGGUGUGGGUUGUUCUCCUUCUUAGAGAAGUUUGAUCCAAAUCAAUCAAUCAAUCAAUCAAUCAAUUAAUAAUGAAAUAAAUCAUUAAAAAUAAGUAAUUGCUUUUCCUAUACUCAAAAAAUUUGUAAAUAAAACCCAAAGGAACCUAGAUCAUGCUUCCCAUAGAGUUCAAGCUUUGAAGCACUCUAUGAUUCACCAGUAGAGUUGGUGUAUGUGAGGGGCUUGUGUUGGACUUCUAGGGGUGGGGCCUGUUGUGUUGAUUCUUAGGCGGGACUUGCCCUAAUGGAGAUGCACUUGCAGGGAGCAACUCUGGCCUUCACCUGGUGGCACUGUUUGCUCACUGAAGUAAGUCAGUGUUGAUGGGUGUGGAGGGGGGGAAAUGGUGUUGCCCUGCUCUCUUGUCUCUGAAGCAGGGCGCUCAGGCCUGCCACUCCAUAGAAAGCCUGAACAUAAGAUCAAACAAUCACCCCUCUUGUGUCCCUGGCUGCUGUCAUAUCCCUGCCUUAAUCUUGUCUUUAUUUCAGCUGUCUGCCUGCCAGGCAACACAGUACUCUCAUGUUUUAUCUCAGGCACAGUUGGGUCUCAAAACUCCAAACUUCAGAGACCCCCAUGGCAUAGACCUGCACUGAUACUCUAGGAGAGGGUCUUGCUGUGCUGUGGCUGAGUGUUGGUUUGUCCCAGAAAAUAGCUGGGUGACCCUGCAGGGCUUGGAGUUUGUGGUAAAGCAUAGCAGAAAGAUGGCACCAAGGCUCACUGCCCUCACCAGGCAUCUUUGUUCUUAUGCUGAUGAAUCACACAGGUUAAUGGCACCCAUAGGUUCUUUUGUCUCCAGACAGGCAGUGCCCCCUUCCUAAAUGCACUCCAAGAUUGGUACAGUUUCUCCCAGUGUGACCCAGGGCAUUCUCAGACCAUGCUGCCCGCUCCUGGGUCCUCACCUUCCUUCUCCACUGGGAUACCACUAAACCCACCAGGUGUGACCCUGUUGAUGGCACAGACCUCUAAAUCUUAAGACUUGGUACUCUGUUGCUUACUUAAAAAUGUGCGGUAUUUAACCCCUCUCCUCCACCCAGUUAUGGCUUUAGGGAAGAGUUUUCUUGUGCAAUCCCCUAUGCAUGUUUCCACAUUUUUUAUUACUCUCUCAAUCCUCUCUCUGUGAUCAGGGCUCCCUCCCCUCUACAGCACCGAUGGCUCAUUUCUCCCCCAAACCAACUCUCCACGGUUCCUACCGUCACCAGGGUCGUUGUUUUUCUACUUGUAGAUGUGCAGGUUUGUUCUCUCAAUCCUCAGAUUGAUUUCUUGGGUGUUCAGAAUUAUUUGAUAUUUAUCUAGCUGUAUUCAAGGGACGAGGGAAGCUUAGGGUUGCCCUCCUCUUCCACCAUCUUAACCCAUCUCCAUGGUAUUGUAUGGAAUCUAUACAUCAGUUUGAGGGAAUAGACAUCUUAACAAUACUGAGUCUUCUGACCCCUCAAGAGGACAUGUCCCUCCAUUUAUUUAGGCCACUGUUUAAUUUCUCUCAGCAAUGUUUAGCAGUGUUGAGUACAGGUCUUGCACAUCUGUGGGCCUCCAUGUUUUACAUAGGGUAUGCCUAUGUCAUUCAUACUUUUUGAUGUUCUUGUCAAUGACUGUUUUUAUUACUAUUUCUAGGCAUUAUAUUUUCACUUAACUGUUAAUAUCCAAAUGUUGCCGGGGAAUAUCUUUGGUUGAAAGCACACAUUACUCAGGAUACUUGGCUAUUAGCACCUAUAGUAGUCAGAGGUUACUGGAGGAACAGAACCAAUGAGAUGUUGAUAUAUAGAUAGAAAUUUAUAUUAAGGAAUUGAGUCAAGAGGAAGUGGAGGCUAGGCAGAAUCUGAUAGGAAACUUUGACAAGUUGGAGACUCAGGAAAGAGUUAGAGUUGGAAUCUGAAUAUUGUCUGCUGGGGAACAACAGGUGCUGAUGUGAAGUCAAAGGCAGUCUUUGGGCAGAAUUCCCUUUGACUCAAGGGAGAUCAACCCUUUGUUCAAUUCAGGACUUCAAUUUAUCAUUUGAGGUCCAAUCACAUUAAUGGAGGAUUAAUUGCUUUACUGAAGUGUACCCAUUCAAAUGUAAAUCUUACUCAAAGGCAUCUUACAGAAAUAUCCAGAACAAUGCUUGAACAAAUAUAUGAACACUAUGGUCUUCCCACGUUGGCACAUUAAAAAUACCAUCAUAUUCAUUUGACUAGAUUUCCAUAGAGGUUUUUAGAUAUCAUUGGCAAUGUACUGAACCUAGGGAGUAAAAUAUCCUUCAGAAAAUUGUACAGGUGGUCUCUAGAAAAUCGGUCACUAAUAUGAAACAGUUCAGUAACUUUCAACUUUCAACCUACACCCACAACUGCAUUACUUCCUGUGCAGUCACCCAGGUUUCCAGGAGUCAUGGUCAAGCUUAGACUAAACUUUCAUGGGAUGGAGUCCACUUGAGGUAAUAUCUCACCACCCCAUGAGGUGGGCACUAACAUCCAUCCUGUUUCCGGGGGCGUUUUGAGUAAUCCAGUCGAGGUAUCAAGAGAAAUAAGAUGUGGAUACUAGUGGUUGAAUUGGAUGGGCAGUGCCCGGCACACAGUAGACAUCUAAUAUACAUUUAAUUAUGUGAGACAUAGAUGUAGGUGUAAGUAGGAAAUGAAACUAUGUAUAUGUUCUUUCAUUCUUUUUAUACACAUAGAAAUUUUUCAGAGCAUUGGGGUCACACUUUUGUCAUUGUUUCAACCGGUUUUAAGAAAAUUUUUGUCUUGUUAUCUAAAAUAAUGUCUUUUAAUUGGGAAAAGAUAAACUGUAGAAAAUGAAAAAGAUGCCUCUGUGUAGAUGUGUAUGACCCUGCAGUGGGUCUUCUGCAAAGUGGGCAAUUGAAAUUUACCUUACACAGCUACUGUGAGGAGAAGUGAACAAACCAAUAAAACAUAUCCAACAUGUAAUAUUGUGAAACUUCAGCAAAUAUGUGUGGGGUCACUCCUGCGGUCUCUUCAUAGCAAAAGAGAUGACUUAACCGUGAAAAACUCAUAGACAUCAUUGGGAUUUGGUGCAGCAAGGAAGGAAAUGUGCACAUAUUAUAUGCUGGGUUAGCUUUAGUACCAUUUAUUUGUAGAUGAGUUACCUGAUUAUGGUGAAGAAGAGGAAACACUCCAUCCCCUAAAACUGUUCGUUUGUGUGUGCAACAUAGUUAUUUGACAUUCAUAUUUGUAUUGUGAAAAAAUCACCACAAUAAAUCUAUCUUACAUCCAUCACUUUA